RNAcentral lists this unclassified non-coding RNA (378 nucleotides) under uncultured Intrasporangiaceae bacterium. RNAcentral describes it as "contains 16S-23S intergenic spacer region". The record is from RNAcentral. Lineage: Bacteria; Bacillati; Actinomycetota; Actinomycetes; Micrococcales; Intrasporangiaceae.
UCCGAGUUGACCCCGGCAGUCUCCUAUGAGUCCCCGGCCGAACCGCUGGCAACAUAGAACGAGGGUUGCGCUCGUUGCGGGACUUAACCCAACAUCUCACGACACGAGCUGACGACAACCAUGCACCACCUGUGCACCAGCCACAAAGGGAAACCACAUCUCUGCAGUCGUCCGGUGCAUGUCAAGCCUUGGUAAGGUUCUUCGCGUUGCAUCGAAUUAAUCCGCAUGCUCCGCCGCUUGUGCGGGCCCCCGUCAAUUCCUUUGAGUUUUAGCCUUGCGGCCGUACUCCCCAGGCGGGGCGCUUAAUGCGUUAGCUGCGGCACGGACCCCGUGGAAUGGGACCCACACCUAGCGCCCAACGUUUACGGCGUGGACUAC